CCCGUGGAGAGAUCACUAGCGAGAAUGAUGACAUGAGUAGCGACAAAGAGUGUGAGAGACACUCUCGCCGAAAAUCCAAGGGUUCCUGCUUAAAGCUAAUCUGAGCAGGGUAAGCCGACCCCUAAGGCGAGGCCGAAAGGCGUAGUCGAUGGGAACCAGGUUAAUAUUCCUGGGCCGUGGAGUGGUGACGGAUCUCGA
RNAcentral lists this ribosomal RNA (198 nucleotides) under Pseudopedinella elastica. RNAcentral describes it as "partial Bacterial large subunit ribosomal RNA". It matches the Rfam family "Bacterial large subunit ribosomal RNA", at positions 1270 to 1467 of the family's 2925-position model. Lineage: Eukaryota; Dictyochophyceae; Pedinellales. The record is from RNAcentral.